RNAcentral lists this transfer RNA (74 nucleotides) under Flavobacterium hydrophilum. RNAcentral's name for it is "Flavobacterium sp. IMCC34758 tRNA-Arg". It matches the Rfam family "tRNA". From Rfam's summary of the family: Transfer RNA (tRNA) molecules are approximately 80 nucleotides in length. Their secondary structure includes four short double-helical elements and three loops (D, anti-codon, and T loops). The record is from RNAcentral. Lineage: Bacteria; Pseudomonadati; Bacteroidota; Flavobacteriia; Flavobacteriales; Flavobacteriaceae.
GAUUUUGUAGCUCAGCUGGAUAGAGCGUCUGCCUUCUAAGCAGAUGGUCGAAGGUUCGAACCCUUCCAAAAUCA